This 459-nucleotide ribosomal RNA is filed under the name uncultured Micrococcineae bacterium. Its description in RNAcentral is "bacterial SSU rRNA". It matches the Rfam family "Bacterial small subunit ribosomal RNA", at positions 8 to 479 of the family's 1533-position model. The record is from RNAcentral. Lineage: Bacteria; Bacillati; Actinomycetota; Actinomycetes; Micrococcales.
AGAGUUUGAUCCUGGCUCAGGAUGAACGCUGGCGGCGUGCUUAACACAUGCAAGUCGAACGAUGACCCGGUGCUUGCACCGGUGAUUAGUGGCGAACGGGUGAGUAACACGUGAGUAACCUGCCCUUAACUCUGGGAUAAGCCUGGGAAACUGGGUCUAAUACCGGAUAUGACUCCUCAUCGCAUGGUGCGGGGUGGAAAGCUUUAUUGUGGUUUUGGAUGGACUCGCGGCCUAUCAGCUUGUUGGUGAGGUAAUGGCUCACCAAGGCGACGACGGGUAGCCGGCCUGAGAGGGUGACCGGCCACACUGGGACUGAGACACGGCCCAGACUCCUACGGGAGGCAGCAGUGGGGAAUAUUGCACAAUGGGCGAAAGCCUGAUGCAGCGACGCCGCGUGAGGGAUGACGGCCUUCGGGUUGUAAACCUCUUUCAGUAGGGAAGAAGCGAAAGUGACGUACC